This 550-nucleotide ribosomal RNA is filed under the name uncultured bacterium. Its description in RNAcentral is "bacterial SSU rRNA". It matches the Rfam family "Bacterial small subunit ribosomal RNA", at positions 355 to 896 of the family's 1533-position model. The record is from RNAcentral.
UAGGGAAUCUUCGGCAAUGGACGGAAGUCUGACCGAGCAACGCCGCGUGAGUGAAGAAGGUUUUCGGAUCGUAAAGCUCUGUUGUAAGAGAAGAACGAGUGUGAGAGUGGAAAGUUCACACUGUGACGGUAUCUUACCAGAAAGGGACGGCUAACUACGUGCCAGCAGCCGCGGUAAUACGUAGGUCCCGAGCGUUGUCCGGAUUUAUUGGGCGUAAAGCGAGCGCAGGCGGUUAGAUAAGUCUGAAGUUAAAGGCUGUGGCUUAACCAUAGUAGGCUUUGGAAACUGUUUAACUUGAGUGCAAGAGGGGAGAGUGGAGUUCCAUGUGUAGCGGUGAAAUGCGUAGAUAUAUGGAGGAACACCGGUGGCGAAAGCGGCUCUCUGGCUUGUAACUGACGCUGAGGCUCGAAAGCGUGGGGAGCAAACAGGAUUAGAUACCCUGGUAGUCCACGCUGUAAACGAUGAGUGCUAGGUGUUAGACCCUUUCCGGGGUUUAGUGCCGUAGCUAACGCAUUAAGCACUCCGCCUGGGGAGUACGACCGCAAGGUUG